RNAcentral lists this ribosomal RNA (404 nucleotides) under Actinomycetes bacterium. RNAcentral describes it as "Actinobacteria bacterium partial 16S ribosomal RNA". It matches the Rfam family "Bacterial small subunit ribosomal RNA", at positions 355 to 776 of the family's 1533-position model. The record is from RNAcentral. Lineage: Bacteria; Bacillati; Actinomycetota; Actinomycetes.
UGGGGAAUAUUGGACAAUGGGCGCAAGCCUGAUCCAGCCAUGCCGCGUGAGUGAUGAAGGCCCUAGGGUUGUAAAGCUCUUUCACCGGUGAAGAUAAUGACGGUAACCGGAGAAGAAGCCCCGGCUAACUUCGUGUCAGCAGCCGCGGUAAUACGAAGGGGGCUAGCGUUGUUCGGAUUUACUGGGCGUAAAGCGCACGUAGGCGGACUAUUAAGUCAGGGGUGAAAUCCCGGGGCUCAACCCCGGAACUGCCUUUGAUACUGGUAGUCUUGAGUUCGAGAGAGGUGAGUGGAAUUCCGAGUGUAGAAGUGAAAUUCGUAGAUAUUCGGAGGAACACCAGUGGCGAAGGCGGCUCACUGGCUCGAUACUGACGCUGAGAUGCGAAAGCGUGGGGAGCAAACAGG